Molecule: transfer RNA, 71 nt
Organism: Ovis aries (sheep)
Lineage: Eukaryota; Metazoa; Chordata; Mammalia; Artiodactyla; Bovidae
Rfam family: tRNA
About the family: Transfer RNA (tRNA) molecules are approximately 80 nucleotides in length. Their secondary structure includes four short double-helical elements and three loops (D, anti-codon, and T loops). Further hydrogen bonds mediate the characteristic L-shaped molecular structure. tRNAs have two regions of fundamental functional importance: the anti-codon, which is responsible for specific mRNA codon recognition, and the 3' end, to which the tRNAs corresponding amino acid is attached (by aminoacyl-tRNA synthetases). tRNAs cope with the degeneracy of the genetic code in two manners: having more than one tRNA (with a specific anti-codon) for a particular amino acid; and 'wobble' base-pairing, i.e. permitting non-standard base-pairing at the 3rd anti-codon position.
Source: Rfam
CCCUGGUGGCUCUGAUGGUAAAGACUCUGCUUGCAAAGCAGGAGGCCUGGGUUCCAUCCCUAGAUCAGGAA